Molecule: ribosomal RNA, 273 nt
Filed under: uncultured bacterium
Lineage: Bacteria
Description: partial 16S ribosomal RNA
Rfam family: Bacterial small subunit ribosomal RNA
Source: RNAcentral
AACUCCUACGGGGGGCAGCAGUGAGGAAUAUUGGUCAAUGGACGAGAGUCUGAACCAGCCAAGUAGCGUGAAGGAUGACUGCCCUAUGGGUUGUAAACUUCUUUUAUAUGGGAAUAAAACAGGGUAUGCAUACCCUCUUGUAUGUACCAUAUGAAUAAGGAUCGGCUAACUCCGUGCCAGCAGCCGCGGUAAUACGGAGGAUCCGAGCGUUAUCCGAUUUUUUUGGGUUUAAGGGAGGGGUGGGUGGUUGUUUAAGUCGUUUUGAAAAGUUUG